Molecule: long non-coding RNA, 395 nt
Filed under: Oreochromis niloticus (Nile tilapia)
Lineage: Eukaryota; Metazoa; Chordata; Actinopteri; Cichliformes; Cichlidae
Description: lncRNA (ENSONIG00000034653.1)
Source: RNAcentral
AGAUAUUAAACACAUGUUUAUAGUGUGGUCUAAUCUAUAUUGAUUAUAUAUCAUGCGCGGCUAGGGGGCGGUACUUACCUACAAGGGAUGGGGCAUGGGAACAGCCUCGAGGUACUGUAUUAAAUAAAUAUGUUGCUCCAUGUUAUUACUUGAGCAGGAGUCUUCAUUCAAGAACUCCACACAACAUACAGAUGUUCUAUGUGGGCUAUAGAACAGCUCAUUACUGGUUUGAGGUUUGAAUAUCGCUGCAAAGAUAAGAUGCCUGGACAUCACAUAAGUGCUUCUUUCCUGUGGCACUCAUGAGCUCAUCCACCGAGUUUACAGGCAUUAUGACACCAGCUGUCACAGUGGGAAGGGAGAAGCCGUGUGUAGCUGACACUCAAUAAAUCACGAGC